Molecule: transfer RNA, 75 nt
Filed under: Danionella cerebrum
Lineage: Eukaryota; Metazoa; Chordata; Actinopteri; Cypriniformes; Danionidae
Description: tRNA-Val
Rfam family: tRNA
About the family: Transfer RNA (tRNA) molecules are approximately 80 nucleotides in length. Their secondary structure includes four short double-helical elements and three loops (D, anti-codon, and T loops). Further hydrogen bonds mediate the characteristic L-shaped molecular structure. tRNAs have two regions of fundamental functional importance: the anti-codon, which is responsible for specific mRNA codon recognition, and the 3' end, to which the tRNAs corresponding amino acid is attached (by aminoacyl-tRNA synthetases). tRNAs cope with the degeneracy of the genetic code in two manners: having more than one tRNA (with a specific anti-codon) for a particular amino acid; and 'wobble' base-pairing, i.e. permitting non-standard base-pairing at the 3rd anti-codon position.
Source: RNAcentral
GCUUUCCUGUGGCUCAGUUGGUAGAGUAUUGCGCUAACAAUACAAAGGUUGUGGGUUCAUAUCCCAGGGAAAGCA